AAUCGCCUCCUCCCUGCGUCAGACGAGACACACACCCGCAGGCGAGAGCGGAUCCUCCGGCUAGAUCCCGACGCCGCUGGCGAUGCAGGUCGAUGGCCGCCCCUAAGGGUUCACUCAGCAUGGAUUUUCCAUCCCUAGAUUCGCCUUGGCUCGACCGAGAAGAAGCAAACCAGACGGGAGAUGAGGGCACCAGCCCAAGCCGAUCCGUCGACUCUACGAGCUCUGGAAGCAACGGCCGCGCCGGAUUUCGCGGAGGUAGCGGAAGUUCCGAUGCCUUCUCCAGAUGAAGCCGCGGCCCAUCUCUCCGGUUCACCACCAUCGCCUGGGUCAUGGAACAACAGGUCAUAUAACAACCAAGCUUAAGGACUGCCGCUGGAGGAUUCCCCCCUUCGCGUUUUGGAAUCGCUCCUAUUUAUUGUUCAUCAUGAUAUAGUUUUAUGAAGAGAUAAUUCAGGCCAGAUGAUAACCAAACAUAUGAAUUAUCCCAUCUGCGCCUCACAAUCGCCUCCAUCUCCACAUCCAUGGAAGAAGAGUCCUGCCUUGGGAGAAUUUUGUUCUACAGAAAGCCAAAUAUGGCAGGAAAAUUAUAUCACUCAAGAAUUGGGUAGUGGUGGCAGGACAGAACUGGUGACGUGGGGACAGCUGCCAGCGUUGGUGUUGUGGAUCUGCCGGAUGAAGGUGAUGGGGGCUAGGACUGACAACCAGCAGCUGGUCGCCCUCCGUGUGACGAUUUGUGAACUUAUAUGUAAUAGGGGGAGAUGAUCCAUAUAAGAACUUAAUAAAUGAGGGAUUGGUAUAUCGUGAAUAUCUCCAAAGAACUUUAUAAAUAGUGAUUGGUCCAUCAUGAAUAUUUUA
This is a long non-coding RNA of Lolium rigidum, 855 nucleotides long. RefSeq lists it as uncharacterized. The record is from RefSeq and is a predicted model, not a curated record. NCBI's taxonomy places the organism in Eukaryota, Viridiplantae, Streptophyta, Magnoliopsida, Poales, Poaceae. The transcript has 4 exons.